UACGUAGGGCGCAAGCGUUAUCCGGAAUUAUUGGGCGUAAAGAGCUCGUAGGCGGUUUGUCGCGUCUGCCGUGAAAGUCCGGGGCUCAACUCCGGAUCUGCGGUGGGUACGGGCAGACUAGGAGUGAUGUAGGGGAGACUGGAAUUCCUGGUGUAGCGGUGAAAUGCGCAGAUAUCAGGAGGAACACCGAUGGCGAAGGCAGGUCUCUGGGCAUUAACUGACGCUGAGGAGCGAAAGCAUGGGGAGCGAACAGG
RNAcentral lists this ribosomal RNA (254 nucleotides) under uncultured bacterium. RNAcentral describes it as "partial 16S ribosomal RNA". It matches the Rfam family "Bacterial small subunit ribosomal RNA", at positions 524 to 776 of the family's 1533-position model. The record is from RNAcentral.